Molecule: RNA transcript, 1033 nt
Organism: Humulus lupulus (European hop)
Lineage: Eukaryota; Viridiplantae; Streptophyta; Magnoliopsida; Rosales; Cannabaceae
Exons: 2
Source: RefSeq, a predicted model, not a curated record
UUAUUUAAUAUGAAUAUAUAUAUAUUUAUGUAAGUUAGAUUAACUAUAAAUGAUAAAAAAUUAAGAUUAUGUAUUAUAUAUUAUUAUAAUAAGAGUAAUUAAUGGCAAAACCUUCUCAUCUUUGCAUUCUUAUACACUUAACCCCAAAUUCUUUUUUUUCGUCGGUGAAACCUCACAAUCCAUGGUUCCGUUAGCAAAUAUAAGGUCUUUGGAGCCAUCUGACCAUCUAAACUAAUGUCACGUCAUAAUUUUUUUUUUAAAUUAAAAUAAAUAAAUAAAGAUAUUUAAAUUAAUUCAAAAUAAAAAAUUAUUUUAAUUUAAAUAUAGAUUAAUUAAUAAUUAAAACGAUUACUUAAAAAUAGAUUAAAAACUAAUUCUUAAUUCUUUUUCUUUUCUUCUUCUUUUUCUUCAUUCCUUCUUCUUCUUCUUGAAGCCCUAGCCGCCUACCCAUUCCUUCUUUCUUUUUGUCAUCUCGCACUCUCUAUCUCCCUCUUCGCAUCUCGACUUGAAUGACAACACCCUCCAAGCCCCUUCGACGGAGGUUGCAGACCACAACAAGAUCGCCCCGUCUUCGAUCAAAUCUGGUCUUCGACGGAACCAGGAGCUUUUCACCGGAGCUCUUUGCCUGCAGGUAGUUGUCGAAGCAACUGGGAAAUUCUUGCUUUUGGUUUGCUUCAGAUAUCCCCAGUUGAAGUGUGCAGUUGCUCUUCGUUGUUGCCCAUGUUUUUGUUGUGUUUCAGGUGGAAGACACCAUAUUCACCUAUUGAUUUACUGGGUUUGAUUUUGGGGUUGGGAAGUUGCAAGAAGAAGAAGAAGGAGGAGGAGGAAAGAAGAGGGUUGGGGUUAGGGCUGGGUCACGUUGGGUUGCGCGAGACAGGGCAAAGGCCUGUGCGAAUGGAGAAGUUGCGAAGGGGAGAAAAAGAGGAAGGAAAGAAGAAAAAGAAGCAGGGAAGAAAGAGGAAAAAAUUUAGGGUUUAGUUUUUAAUUUUAUUUUAGAUUUAUAAAUUAAUAUUAAUUUUUUGUUUUUAAUAUA